RNAcentral lists this ribosomal RNA (490 nucleotides) under uncultured bacterium. Its description in RNAcentral is "partial 16S ribosomal RNA". It matches the Rfam family "Bacterial small subunit ribosomal RNA", at positions 30 to 507 of the family's 1533-position model. The record is from RNAcentral.
AUUGAACGCUGGCGGCAGGCCUAACACAUGCCAGUCGAACGGUAACAGGAAGAAGCUUGCUUCUUUGCUGACGAGUGGCGGACGGGUGAGUAAUGUCUGGGAAACUGCCUGAUGGAGGGGGAUAACUACUGGAAACGGUAGCUAAUACCGCAUGACGUCGCAAGACCAAAGAGGGGGACCUUCGGGCCUCUUGCCAUCGGAUGUGCCCAGAUGGGAUUAGCUAGUAGGUGGGGUAACGGCUCACCUAGGCGACGAUCCCUAGCUGGUCUGAGAGGAUGACCAGCCACACUGGAACUGAGACACGGUCCAGACUCCUACGGGAGGCAGCAGUGGGGAAUAUUGCACAAUGGGCGCAAGCCUGAUGCAGCCAUGCCGCGUGUAUGAAGAAGGCCUUCGGGUUGUAAAGUACUUUCAGCGGGGAGGAAGGGAGUAAAGUUAAUACCUUUGCUCAUUGACGUUACCCGCAGAAGAAGCACCGGCUAACUCCGUG